GCUGGGUGUGGUGUCCCAUGCCUGUAAUCCCAGUGGCUCAGGAGGCUAAGGCAGGAGGAUUGCAAGUUCAAAGCCAGCCUCAGCCACUUAGCAAGGCCCUAAGAACUCAGUGAGAUCUUGUCUCUA
RNAcentral lists this small RNA (126 nucleotides) under Marmota monax (woodchuck). The record is from RNAcentral. Lineage: Eukaryota; Metazoa; Chordata; Mammalia; Rodentia; Sciuridae.